GACGAACGCUGGCGGAGUGUUUAACACAUGCAAGUCGAACGGAAAGGCCCUGCUUUUGUGGGGUGCUCGAGUGGCGAACGGGUGAGUAACACGUUAGUAACCUGCCCUUGACUUUGGGAUAACUUCAGGAAACUGGGGCUAAUACCGGAUAGGAGCUCCUGCUGCAUGGUGGGGGUUGGAAAGUUUCGGCGGUUGGGGAUGGACUCGCGGCUUAUCAGCUUGUUGGUGGGGUAGUGGCUUACCAAGGCUUUGACGGGUAGCCGGCCUGAGAGGGUGACCGGCCACAUUGGGACUGAGAUACGGCCCAGACUCCUACGGGAGGCAGCAGUGGGGAAUAUUGCACAAUGGGCGGAAGCCUGAUGCAGCAACGCCGCGUGCGGGAUGACGGCCUUCGGGUUGUAAACCGCUUUCGCCUGUGACGAAGCGUGAGUGACGGUAAUGGGUAAAGAAGCACCGGCUAACUACGUG
Molecule: ribosomal RNA, 468 nt
Filed under: uncultured bacterium
Lineage: Bacteria
Description: partial 16S ribosomal RNA
Rfam family: Bacterial small subunit ribosomal RNA
Source: RNAcentral